CGUUUGGUGGUGGUGGCUUCCUGUCCUCUCUCCUGAGCUGGCACGUGUCCAGUUGAGGGGCAGAGGAGGGCUGGGCCAGACCCAGGCGAAGGCCGGCUGCCUCUGCCUCCUGUGGCCUCUGUCCAGCCCCCGUAGGUGGGAGCCUGGAGGGAGAGGGAAUGGCUCCUGUGCUGACAGCCAGGCCAGGACAGGAAUCAGUUACAUUCAAGGAAGUGGCUGUGGAAUUCACCCAAGAGGAGUGGGGACAAUUGAAGCCAUCUCAGAAAAUGUUGUACAGGGAUGUGAUGCUGGAGAAUUAUAGGAACUUGGUGUCUUUGGGAUUUGCAGUUUCCAAACCAGAUGUGAUCUACCAGUUGGAAAGGAAGGGAGCAUCUUGGAUGCCAGAGGCAGAUAUUCCCGGAAACAGCUGUCCAGGUGACUUCAUAAAAAACAAGCCAGCUCGGGAUCUGUUGGUCAUUUUAGGUUAAAGCUCUUAUAAAAUGUUGAACAAAGUGGCCUAUCAAAGCUUCUCAGGCCUGUUGAGAGGAGCUGAGGCUUUCAGACUUCAUUUUGUAGCUCAAGAAAUUCAUUUUUUUUAUGUAUCUCUUUACUGAAGUGUACCUCCACUUUAAAAGAAAGUUGUUGCUUUAGUACAGGGCAGUUAUUUCUCUUCUGUUCCUUGAAGAUUAUCUUCUCUUAAGUGGGCAUUCUCCUGCUUCACUUGCAUGAAUUCAAUCUACCUUUCAAAAUAAGUACAUUACUUAAAGAUAUCCAGUAAUGUGCUCUUUUUGCUUCUUAGUUCUGUUCUGAUAUUUUCCUUUGUUUUAAUUUUAUGAUUGUGUUGCUUUGCUGCUAUUACUUUUAAAAAUAUUUACUCCUGA
Trichosurus vulpecula (common brushtail) is the source of this 860-nucleotide long non-coding RNA. RefSeq lists it as uncharacterized. Lineage: Eukaryota; Metazoa; Chordata; Mammalia; Diprotodontia; Phalangeridae. The record is from RefSeq and is a predicted model, not a curated record. The transcript is spliced from 4 exons.